Molecule: unclassified non-coding RNA, 225 nt
Filed under: Hevea brasiliensis (rubber tree)
Lineage: Eukaryota; Viridiplantae; Streptophyta; Magnoliopsida; Malpighiales; Euphorbiaceae
Source: RNAcentral
UGGACCUGGUUCUUGUGGUUACAACAAUGUAUGCACUCUUGGUACAAACGAUAGACCAGUUUGUAACUGUCCGAAAGGAUAUUCGUUGGUUGAUCCGAAUGAUGCUUAUGGUGACUGCAAACCAGAUUUUUCGAUAAGUUGUGAUGAAGUUGGGAGGGGUUCACCUGAUGAUAUAUACAAUUUAACCACGAUUCGUGAUAUUGAUUGGCCGCUAUCUGACUUUCA